RNAcentral lists this transfer RNA (74 nucleotides) under Bacteroidota bacterium. Its description in RNAcentral is "Bacteroidetes bacterium (marine metagenome) tRNA-Thr". It matches the Rfam family "tRNA". From Rfam's summary of the family: Transfer RNA (tRNA) molecules are approximately 80 nucleotides in length. Their secondary structure includes four short double-helical elements and three loops (D, anti-codon, and T loops). The record is from RNAcentral. Lineage: Bacteria; Pseudomonadati; Bacteroidota. RNAcentral also lists the same sequence under 3 other names.
GCCGAUGUAGCUCAGCUGGUCAGAGCAGCUGAUUUGUAAUCAGCAGGCCGGGGGUUCGAAUCCCUUCAUCGGCU